RNAcentral lists this ribosomal RNA (1044 nucleotides) under uncultured Oerskovia sp. RNAcentral's name for it is "bacterial SSU rRNA". It matches the Rfam family "Bacterial small subunit ribosomal RNA", at positions 337 to 1396 of the family's 1533-position model. The record is from RNAcentral. Lineage: Bacteria; Bacillati; Actinomycetota; Actinomycetes; Micrococcales; Cellulomonadaceae.
UCCUACGGGAGGCAGCAGUGGGGAAUCUUGCGCAAUGGGCGAAAGCCUGACGCAGCAACGCCGCGUGGGGGAUGAAGGCUCUCGGGUUGUAAACCCCUUUCAGCAGGGACGAAAUUGACGGUACCUGCAGAAGAAGCCCCGGCUAACUACGUGCCAGCAGCCGCGGUAACACGUAGGGGGCAAGCGUUGUCCGGAUUUAUUGGGCGUAAAGAGCUCGUAGGCGGCUGAGUAAGUCGGGUGUCAAAUCUCCAGGCUCAACCUGGAGCUCCACCCGAUACUGCUCUGGCUAGAGUCCGGUAGGGAGCGUGGAAUUCCUGGUGUAGCGGUGAAAUGCGCAGAUAUCAGGAGGAACACCAGCGGCGAAGGCGGCGCUCUGGGCCGGAACUGACGCUGAGGAGCGAAAGCGUGGGUAGCAAACAGGAUUAGAUACCCUGGUAGUCCACGCCGUAAACGUUGGGCACUAGGUGUGGGGUCUAUUCAACGGACUCCGUGCCGUCGCUAACGCAUUAAGUUCCCCGCCUGGGGAGUACGGCCGCAAGGCUAAAACUCAAAGGAAUUGACGGGGGCCCGCACAAGCGGCGGAGCAUGUGGAUUAAUUCGAUGCAACGCGAGAACCUUACCAAGGCUUGACAUACACCGGAAACAUCCAGAGAUGGUGCCGCAAGGUCGGUGUACAGGUGGUGCAUGGUUGUCGUCAGCUCGUGUCGUGAGAUGUUGGGUUAAGUCCCGCAACGAGCGCAACCCUCGUUCCAUGUUGCCAGCAGCACUUUCGGGUGGCUGGGGACUCAUGGGAGACUGCCGGGGUCAACUCGGAGGAAGGUGGGGAUGACGUCAAAUCAUCAUGCUCCUUAUGUCUUGGGCUUCACACAUGCUACAAUGGCCGGUACAAAGGGCUGCGAUACCGCGAGGUGGAGCGAAUCCCAAAAAACCGGUCUCAGUUCGGAUUGGGGUCUGCAACUCGACCCCAUGAAGUCGGAGUCGCUAGUAAUCGCAGAUCAGCAACGCUGCGGUGAAUACGUUCCCGGGCCUUGUACACACCGCCAU